RNAcentral lists this ribosomal RNA (629 nucleotides) under Salmonella enterica. RNAcentral describes it as "partial 23S ribosomal RNA". It matches the Rfam family "Bacterial large subunit ribosomal RNA", at positions 560 to 1191 of the family's 2925-position model. The record is from RNAcentral. RNAcentral also lists the same sequence under 1 other name. Lineage: Bacteria; Pseudomonadati; Pseudomonadota; Gammaproteobacteria; Enterobacterales; Enterobacteriaceae.
GUACGUACAAGCAGUGGGAGCACCCUUUGGGUGUGACUGCGUACCUUUUGUAUAAUGGGUCAGCGACUUAUAUUCUGUAGCAAGGUUAACCGAAUAGGGGAGCCGGAGGGAAACCGAGUCUUAACCGGGCGUUAAGUUGCAGGGUAUAGACCCGAAACCCGGUGAUCUAGCCAUGGGCAGGUUGAAGGUUGGGUAACACUAACUGGAGGACCGAACCGACUAAUGUUGAAAAAUUAGCGGAUGACCUGUGGCUGGGGGUGAAAGGCCAAUCAAACCGGGAGAUAGCUGGUUCUCCCCGAAAGCUAUUUAGGUAGCGCCUCGUGAAUUCAUCUCCGGGGGUAGAGCACUGUUUCGGCUAGGGGGCCAUCCCGGCUUACCAACCCGAUGCAAACUGCGAAUACCGGAGAAUGUUAUCACGGGAGACACACGGCGGGUGCUAACGUCCGUCGUGAAGAGGGAAACAACCCAGACCGCCAGCUAAGGUCCCAAAGUCAUGGUUAAGUGGGAAACGAUGUGGGAAGGCCCAGACAGCCAGGAUGUUGGCUUAGAAGCAGCCAUCAUUUAAAGAAAGCGUAAUAGCUCACUGGUCGAGUCGGCCUGCGCGGAAGAUGUAACGGGGCUAAACCAUG